GGUAUACUCCCUCCGUCCAGAAAUACUUGUCAUCAAAUUAGAUAGAAAGGGAUGUAUCUAUCAAAAUGAAUAGAAAGGGAUGUAUCUAGUUCUAGAUACAUUCCCUUUUAUCCAAUUUGAUGACAAGUAUUUUCGGACGGAGGGAGUACUAU
Non-coding RNA from Triticum aestivum (bread wheat), 152 nucleotides. NCBI's taxonomy places the organism in Eukaryota, Viridiplantae, Streptophyta, Magnoliopsida, Poales, Poaceae. The record is from Rfam.